Molecule: ribosomal RNA, 253 nt
Filed under: uncultured bacterium
Lineage: Bacteria
Description: partial 16S ribosomal RNA
Rfam family: Bacterial small subunit ribosomal RNA
Source: RNAcentral
UACGUAGGUGGCAAGCGUUGUCCGGAAUUAUUGGGCGUAAAGCGCGCGCAGGCGGUUUCUUAAGUCUGAUGUGAAAGCCCCCGGCUCAACCGGGGAGGGUCAUUGGAAACUGGGAAACUUGAGUGCAGAAGAGGAAAGUGGAAUUCCAAGUGUAGCGGUGGAAUGCGUAGAGAUUUGGAGGAACACCAGUGGCGAAGGCGACUUUCUGGUCUGUAACUGACGCUGAGGCGCGAAAGCGUGGGGAGCAAACAGG